GGAGGAUAUGGAACAAACACAUGAUAGGUUUAAUUCAAAUAGUGGCAUGGCUAUCAAUCCAAGUAAGCGAAAGGAUAAGGAAAGCGAAACCCGCAUGGCAUUUACUUGCAAGAAUCAUAAGUUGUUUGUCCAAAAAACUACGAAGCAAUUAUCAGCCAAAAAAUAGAGAAUUCAGUUGUACGUAGAUGCAAACCGAACAAUGACUUCAAAGUACAAUUAGUUCACCAUUCAAGCAGUUGAACCAAUAGAAGAUUAGGCCGAAGUUACCUUUUUUUUUUUUUUUUACAUUAAUUUUAUUUUAUUUAGUGUUGAGACUUUUCUUGGUGCCGAGCUUCUUUUUCUUUCUCUUGACUUGUUAUUUAUGGAUUUACAUGGAGUAGUGUAUGCAAGUAUUUCAUAUACCCAGUUUUCUAAAAAUAAAUAAUAAGUAUUAUUUUAUUAUGAUUUAUAUAUACCUAAUUAUAUUUUACCAACCAAUUAUAAUAGCACAAAUAUUAAUUUGAUAAAACAAAUUAUUCGUAUGAUCAUACCUUUACAUACAAUCUAAAUAAGAAGAAAUAAAAAAAAAAACUAAACUUUACCUAAAACUAAUAUUUA
Long non-coding RNA from Cannabis sativa, 597 nucleotides. RefSeq lists it as uncharacterized. The transcript has 2 exons. Lineage: Eukaryota; Viridiplantae; Streptophyta; Magnoliopsida; Rosales; Cannabaceae. The record is from RefSeq and is a predicted model, not a curated record.